ACGCUGGCGGCGUGCCUAAUACAUGCAAGUAGAACGCUGAAGGAGGAGCUUGCUUCUCCGGAUGAGUUGCGAACGGGUGAGUAACGCGUAGGUAACCUGCCUGGUAGCGGGGGAUAACUAUUGGAAACGAUAGCUAAUACCGCAUAAGAGUAGAUGUCGCAUGACAUUUGCUUAAAAGGUGCAAUUGCAUCACUACCAGAUGGACCUGCGUUGUAUUAGCUAGUUGGUGGGGUAACGGCUCACCAAGGCGACGAUACAUAGCCGACCUGAGAGGGUGAUCGGCCACGCUGGGACUGAGACACGGCCCAGACUCCUACGGGAGGCAGCAGUAGGGAAUCUUCGGCAAUGGACGGAAGUCUGACCGAGCAACGCCGCGUGAGUGAAGAAGGUUUUCGGAUCGUAAAGCUCUGUUGUAAGAGAAGAACGAGUGUGAGAGUGGAAAGUUCACACUGUGACGGUAUCUUACCAGAAAGGGACGGCUAACUACGUGCCAGCAGCCGCGGUAAUACGUAGGUCCCGAGCGUUGUCCGGAUUUAUUGGGCGUAAAGCGAGCGCAGGCGGUUAGAUAAGUCUGAAGUUAAAGGCUAUGGCUUAACCAUAGUACGCUUUGGAAACUGUUUAACUUGAGUGCAAGAGGGGAGAGUGGAAUUCCAUGUGUAGCGGUGAAAUGCGUAGACAUAUGGAGGAACACCGGUGGCGAAAGCGGCUCUCUGGCUUGUAACUGACGCUGAGGCUCGAAAGCGUGGGGAGCAAACAGGAUUAGAUACCCCUGGUAGUCCACGCCGUAAACGAUGAGUGCUAGGUGUUAGACCCUUUCCGGGGUUUAGUGCCGCAGCUAACGCAUUAAGCACUCCGCCUGGGGAGUACGACCGCAAGGUUGAAACUCAAAGGAAUUGAC
Molecule: ribosomal RNA, 898 nt
Filed under: uncultured bacterium
Lineage: Bacteria
Description: bacterial SSU rRNA
Rfam family: Bacterial small subunit ribosomal RNA
Source: RNAcentral